AACCUAUCUUUGAACGUCAAAAAAAAAAAAGAAAAGUAAAAAAGGAUAUGAAAAUAAAGAAUUGCAGAGAAAGAAAAUAUUCUCAGAACACGAAUGUCAAGUCAGAGCCCCUCUGAAGAACAAGAAGAUGUAUAAAAAACGCUUU
Molecule: long non-coding RNA, 145 nt
Organism: Telopea speciosissima
Lineage: Eukaryota; Viridiplantae; Streptophyta; Magnoliopsida; Proteales; Proteaceae
Exons: 4
Source: RefSeq, a predicted model, not a curated record